UGAGUAACCUGCCCUUAACUCUGGGAUAAGCCUGGGAAACUGGGUCUAAUACCGGAUAUGACUCCUCAUCGCAUGGUGGGGGGUGGAAAGCUUUAUUGUGGUUUUGGAUGGACUCGCGGCCUAUCAGCCUGUUGGUGAGGUAAUGGCUCACCAAGGCGACGACGGGUAGCCGGCCUGAGAGGGUGACCGGCCACACUGGGACUGGGACACGGCCCAGACUCCUACGGGAGGCAG
This 234-nucleotide ribosomal RNA is filed under the name uncultured bacterium. RNAcentral's name for it is "partial 16S ribosomal RNA". It matches the Rfam family "Bacterial small subunit ribosomal RNA", at positions 118 to 351 of the family's 1533-position model. The record is from RNAcentral.